This 85-nucleotide transfer RNA is filed under the name Clostridium sp. Its description in RNAcentral is "tRNA-Leu". It matches the Rfam family "tRNA". Rfam says of the family: Transfer RNA (tRNA) molecules are approximately 80 nucleotides in length. Lineage: Bacteria; Bacillati; Bacillota; Clostridia; Eubacteriales; Clostridiaceae. RNAcentral also lists the same sequence under 5 other names. The record is from RNAcentral.
GCGGGUGUGGUGGAAUAGGCAGACACAAGGGACUUAAAAUCCCUCGGACUUAACAUCCGUGCCGGUUCAAGUCCGGCCACCCGCA